This 1590-nucleotide long non-coding RNA is filed under the name Lactuca sativa (garden lettuce). Its description in RNAcentral is "long non-coding RNA (LSAT_LNC001463)". The record is from RNAcentral. Lineage: Eukaryota; Viridiplantae; Streptophyta; Magnoliopsida; Asterales; Asteraceae.
GAAAAACCGCUGCAUUGCCGGCCCUAGUUCCAUCCCUACCAAUAUCCUUGUGUGUCUGAUUUCUGCCGUAUGUCGUCGUGAAUCGUGAGAAGGGCAGCACAAAACAAGAAGGGACUGGCGAUCGUCAACGGAAUGGUUCCUAUGAAAACCAAACGUUAAUCGUAUAUGCCUAGAACCACGCCCAUCUGUUGUCGAUUGGAGAACUCAAUACGCACCCAUCGAUUUCAAAUGCCAUUAUAACUUUUCUUAAUCGUCGAUCUCCUCGAUAAGAAGUAAGAACAAUUUCUGUCUAAAUAUGAUAUUUUGCUUUCAAAUUCCCACUUAUCAAUCUAUUACAUAGCUCUCAAAGUGUUUAUGAGACGAUUUUUGAUUUUUAAAUACAUUGAUUUCAUUAAUUUCAAGUUCUGAUUGCCCUAUUUCUUGACUUCAAACCACCUGCUUGCUGUUUGUUGGGAAGCCCUUCAAUAUUCUUAAAGUUCAACUUUUUUGAAAAUGCACCUUGCGAAUUGUGUCACUAUUAGAACAGGUCUUUUUCUUGAUUGUAAUCUGGGCAGUUGUGUGGGGGAUGUAAUUAAUCAACGAAGCAACUCAUCGGCUAAAGCUCUAUCUUUUUCCCUAUUUCAUUCUAUCUUUUCCCUUAUAUUCUUUAAGUUUUGGAGAUGAAAUUGAAUUUUCUUUUGUUUGCAAAUAUAUUGAUCUGCAUUUUCAUAUGUUUGCAAAAACUAUGGUAGUCAAUCUGACUUGAGAAUUGCUGCAUUAAGAACAUCAUCUUUGUGUUUUCAUUACUCAUGGGUGAAUAAUUGAGAUAUUAUAUAUUGGUUUUAACUUUUAAUGGUAAAUUUGAAUAUACCCUGCUGCUAUCUUUUGCUGGUUUUUGAUUUAAGAUUUUUCAACCAAAUGAUACGGUUUAACAUAUAACAUAACUUUCUUCAUGUUCAUGAAUAAAUGACUGCUGAAUUUCUAUUAUCAAAUGUCAUUUUCCUUUUUUUUUUUAUGAUAUUGAUUUGAUGUUGAUUGGUUUGAUAAUUUCAAAUCUCGUUUUGCUCACAUUGUCAAAUCUUAUAUUAGAAAGAUCCAAAACAUAUAUCUGUCUAUCUAAGGAGAUGGGGUUAGACUAAUGAGUUUGAUUAACCUCAAUUUCAGGGACAAAUUUUUUUCUAAUUUGAUAGUUCAAUGUCUUCCUUCUAUUUUGAUAUUUCAAACAUGAUUAAGUUGAGUUUGACUAAUGUGGUCUUUCUAAGGAGAUGAGGUUAGACUAAUGAGUUUGAUUAACCUCAAUUUCAGGGACAAAUUUUUUUCUAAUUUGAUAGUUCAAUGUCUUCCUUCUAUUUUGAUAUUUCAAACAUGAUUAAGUUGUACACUUUGAAGAUCGUGGAAAGGUAAGAAAUCCAUGAUCGAUUUCUUCUAUGAUGAGGCAUGGUUAGGUUUUAUGAUCCUUAAAUAGAAGUAAAGUUGUAUACAACAAUCAACAUUUGGUAUUUAGUCUUAUUGUGAUUUUUAGUUUCUAUAAAUAUGAUUUUUUUUAAAUAAAAAAGUGUGUUCAGUUUUGUUUUAUGAAUUUCUUUUAUAUAGUUUUGGUACAUAUGUAAG